UACGUAGGGUGCGAGCGUUUGUCCGGAAUUAUUGGGCGUAAAGAGCUCGUAGGCGGUGUGUCACGUCGGCCGUGAAAACCUGCAGCUUAACUGUGGGCGUGCGGUCGAUACGGGCAUCACUGGAGUUCGGCAGGGGAGACUGGAAUUCCUGGUGUAGCGGUGAAAUGCGCAGAUAUCAGGAGGAACACCUGUGGCGAAGGCGGCUUUCUGGGCCUUACCUGACGCUGAGACGCGAAAGCGUGGGGAGCGAACCGG
RNAcentral lists this ribosomal RNA (255 nucleotides) under uncultured bacterium. Its description in RNAcentral is "partial 16S ribosomal RNA". It matches the Rfam family "Bacterial small subunit ribosomal RNA", at positions 524 to 776 of the family's 1533-position model. The record is from RNAcentral.